UAGUCCACGCCGUAAACGAUGGAUACUAGGUGUCCGGGAUAUUAACCUCCUGGGUACUACAGUUAACGCGUUAAGUAUCCCGCCUGGGGAGUACGGUCGCAAGGCUAAAACUCAAAGGAAUUGACGGGGGCCCGCACAAGCGGUGGAGUAUGUGGUUUAAUUCGAAGCAACGCGCAGAACCUUACCUACCCUUAACAUUUCACGACGUAUACAGAGAUGUAUAUUUCUCUUCGGAGACGUGAGGAUAGGUGCUGCAUGGCUGUCGUCAGCUCGUGUCGUAAGAUGUCUGGUUAAGUCCCGCAACGAGCGCAACCCUCACCCUUAGUUACCAGCGGGUUAUGCCGGGCACUCUAAGGGAACUGCCCGUGAUAAGCGGGAGGAAGGUGGGGAUGACGUCAAGUCAUCAUGGCCCUCACAGGGUGGGCUACACACGUGCUACAAUGGCGGUGACAAUGGGUUGCUAGACCGUAAGGUCAUGCUAAUCUCUAAAAGCCGCCUCAGUUCAGAUUGGGGUCCGCAACUCGACCCCA
This 530-nucleotide ribosomal RNA is filed under the name uncultured bacterium. RNAcentral describes it as "bacterial SSU rRNA". It matches the Rfam family "Bacterial small subunit ribosomal RNA", at positions 791 to 1320 of the family's 1533-position model. The record is from RNAcentral.